GUGCAAUUUGUGACAAUGGUGGUGCCCUUCUAUGUUGUGAAGGGAGUUGCAUGAGGUCAUUUCAUCCAACAAGACUAGAUGGUGAAGAGUCUAAUUGUGACACUCUUGGCUUUACACGGAGGGAAGUUGAUGCAAUUGAGAGGUUUUUGUGUAAGAAUUGUGAAUAUAAUCAGCAUCAGUGCUUUGCUUGUGGAGAGUUGGGCUACUCAAAUAAAUCUUCUGGUGCUGAGGUGUUUCGUUGUGCUAAUGCAACCUGUGGUCAUUUUUAUCACUCGCAUUGCAUUGCAAAAUUACUUCACCAAGAAGAUGAAGUUGCUGUUGGGGAGCUUGAGAAAAAAGUUGCUACAGGAGAGUCUUUUACUUGCCCCAUUCAUAAAUGCUACAUUUGUAAAAAAGGAGAGAAUAAGAAGAUAAAGGAGCUACAAUUUGCUGUAUGCAGGCGGUGUCCCACAUCAUACCACCGAAAAUGCUUGCCAAAGUAGUCUCUUUCCCAUUGUCAUAUACUUGUAUUCAUAUACAUUUAUACAUUAAUUGUAUAGGUGAUUCACGCCUGAAUGAUUUAUUAGGGAGAUAGUUUUUGA
Molecule: unclassified non-coding RNA, 581 nt
Filed under: Hevea brasiliensis (rubber tree)
Lineage: Eukaryota; Viridiplantae; Streptophyta; Magnoliopsida; Malpighiales; Euphorbiaceae
Source: RNAcentral